GGGAAGCUCAGUCUUUUCCUUACCGCUGUCUCCCCCAAAUUCAAAGAGAGGUGCUCCUUUCUUCAAGACCCCGUUGGACAGAGCUGGUGGAAAAACAGAAAAGAAAAACAUAAAUUUAAUCUAAAAAUAAUGCAGACUUGAAGGAUGGAGCUGGUUACCACACCAACUCCCAUUUCUUAAGUGUUUUUGUUUAUCUGCGAUCCCACUAGACCCAGAAGUGAUGAUGAGACAAUGCAGGCUGUGAGUUCUGUCUCCUCGCAGGUUCCUAGAGAGGGUCGAAAUGAACCACCUCUAGGAGAAUCUUCUCAUGGGGGCAAGGAAUGCCUCGGGUUUGGAUGCCCAGGAGGCUCUCUGCCCACUCCUUUUCAGUCUGAGUUACCACCUGUCCCCGCUAUGAAUGUUUCUGAAGAGUAGGAACUCGUUGUAG
Molecule: long non-coding RNA, 427 nt
Filed under: Bos taurus (domestic cattle)
Lineage: Eukaryota; Metazoa; Chordata; Mammalia; Artiodactyla; Bovidae
Description: long non-coding RNA NONBTAT026023
Source: RNAcentral